AUUGAACGCUGGCGGCAUGCCUUACACAUGCAAGUCGAACGGCAGCACGGGUGCUUGCACCUGGUGGCGAGUGGCGAACGGGUGAGUAAUACAUCGGAACAUGUCCUGUAGUGGGGGAUAGCCCGGCGAAAGCCGGAUUAAUACCGCAUACGAUCUACGGAUGAAAGCGGGGGACCUUCGGGCCUCGCGCUAUAGGGUUGGCCGAUGGCUGAUUAGCUAGUUGGUGGGGUAAAGGCCUACCAAGGCGACGAUCAGUAGCUGGUCUGAGAGGACGACCAGCCACACUGGGACUGAGCCACGGCCCAGACUCCUACGGGAGGCAGCAGUGGGGAAUUUUGGACAAUGGGCGAAAGCCUGAUCCAGCAAUGCCGCGUGUGUGAAGAAGGCCUUCGGGUUGUAAAGCACUUUUGUCCGGAAAGAAAUCCUUGGCCCUAAUACGGUCGGGGGAUGACGGUACCGGAAGAAUAAGCACCGGCUAACUACGUG
This 486-nucleotide ribosomal RNA is filed under the name uncultured bacterium. Its description in RNAcentral is "partial 16S ribosomal RNA". It matches the Rfam family "Bacterial small subunit ribosomal RNA", at positions 30 to 507 of the family's 1533-position model. The record is from RNAcentral.